This 207-nucleotide ribosomal RNA is filed under the name uncultured bacterium. RNAcentral's name for it is "partial 16S ribosomal RNA". It matches the Rfam family "Bacterial small subunit ribosomal RNA", at positions 568 to 774 of the family's 1533-position model. The record is from RNAcentral.
CUCGUAGGCGGUUUGUCGCGUCUGCUGUGAAAAUCCGAGGCUCAACCUCGGACCUGCAGUGGGUACGGGCAAACUAGAGUGCGGUAGGGGAGAUGGGAAUUCCUGGUGUAGCGGUGGAAUGCGCAGAUAUCAGGAGGAACACCAAUGGCGAAGGCACAUCUCUGGGCCGUAACUGACGCUGAGGAGCGAAAGCGUGGGGAGCGAACA